Diabrotica virgifera virgifera (western corn rootworm) is the source of this 250-nucleotide long non-coding RNA. RefSeq lists it as uncharacterized. NCBI's taxonomy places the organism in Eukaryota, Metazoa, Arthropoda, Insecta, Coleoptera, Chrysomelidae. The transcript is spliced from 2 exons. The record is from RefSeq and is a predicted model, not a curated record.
CAUGAAAAAAUUUAUAUGUUUUAUUUGUGCAACGUGUAUGUGGCCGUUUCUUUCUGUUUUUUUGCUGUUUGCUGUUGUACGGAGGACUAAGCUAGCAUUCAAAAUUUAAAAAUCAAAUGUACAUUCCUAAGAUGCACUUUUUUACACCUCUAUGUAGCGGUACUUUUUUAGUAUUUGACCAUUAGCUCCGAUGAUGACGUUUAUGUCGAAAGCGCUCAGCUAAGGAAAUAAAAUUAUUUACACACUUUGA